This 70-nucleotide non-coding RNA is filed under the name unclassified sequences. RNAcentral describes it as "Cyano-1 RNA". It matches the Rfam family "Cyano-1 RNA". RNAcentral also lists the same sequence under 1 other name. The record is from RNAcentral.
AUAUGUGUGAAGGAGUGGUUUUAUUAAAUCAGUGGGAACAAGGAAACACAUGAUUUAAUAAAAUCAUCAA